RNAcentral lists this ribosomal RNA (425 nucleotides) under uncultured bacterium. Its description in RNAcentral is "partial 16S ribosomal RNA". It matches the Rfam family "Bacterial small subunit ribosomal RNA", at positions 354 to 796 of the family's 1533-position model. The record is from RNAcentral.
GUGGGGAAUCUUAGACAAUGGGGGAAACCCUGAUCUAGCCAUGCCGCGUGAGCGAUGAAGGCCUUAGGGUUGUAAAGCUCUUUCAGUGGGGACGAUAAUGACGGUACCCACAGAAGAAGCCCCGGCUAACUUCGUGCCAGCAGCCGCGGUAAUACGAAGGGGGCUAGCGUUGUUCGGAUUUACUGGGCGUAAAGCGCACGUAGGCGGAUCGUUAAGUCGGGGGUGAAAUCCUGGAGCUCAACUCCAGAACUGCCUUCGAUACUGGCGAUCUUGAGUCCGGAAGAGGUGAGUGGAACUCCUAGUGUAGAGGUGGAAUUCGUAGAUAUUAGGAAGAACACCAGUGGCGAAGGCGGCUCACUGGUCCGGUACUGACGCUGAGGUGCGAAAGCGUGGGGAGCAAACAGGAUUAGAAACCCGAGUAGUCC